GGAAUAAUCUCUUAAUACUGCUCCUACUGUCUUGUCUCCACUGACAUGCAGGAUAUGUUGCAUCUUCUUUCUGGAUAUACUUCAUGAGAGUACAGCAGGAGGCUAGAUGUGUUUUGCAUCAGCUGCAUCAAUCUGGAAUUUGUACAGAUGUCCUGAAUUUUGCAAUGUUCUCACUUGCAUGAGGCACCUCUCCCAAAGCACUGAUGCCACGGAGAGGGUGUCCCACGAGGCAAGCAGCACUGCUGAGAGUGCUGCAGCCCUGCCAGAGCAGUGACCUUCCUCAGGGAGGAGGUCUGAUCUGGAGAGUGAAAACAGCUUGCUACUUGGAGGACUGUCCACAAAAGAACAAAGCUCUGAGGACACUUCCCUGCACUGUGCCCCACUAGAGAUAAUGUAGAGCCAAGAUGUUGGCCUCAGGAAACACAACUAUGUGAGACAGUCUCUUGUUAAGUGUUUUGUUUCUUUCUUGUCCUAGGAUUCAUGUGCUCCAGUGCCUGGUGCUCUGGGUGUUGCUGCUCCUUUGGAUCUGAUGCACUGGGAGGCAAGUGCCUUGGGCAUUCUCAGCUCCUGCUUGUAAGAAAGAGGAAUCAUGUUAGUUCAUCUUAUAGGGAUGCUGGUGCUCUUUCCUGACAAUCUUUAAUAGCUGGUGCUGUGGAAGAAGACUGGAAUCUUUUUUAACCAGGUGUGCAUCUCUCCAGAUUUGUGUUUUACAUGUCACUGGCAACAUGUGAGGAAGAAAUACUCAUGAAAGGGCCAACGCUCCUGCACAACAACAUUAAUGGGGAAUCAGUUCUGGAUACACAGAAGGGCAAGUUCCUUGUGGCAGCUGAAUGGAGAGUUAUGGAUGCAUAGAAAAGUGAGAUGAUGGUGUAUGAUCCAUGCAUCCUGGAAAUCAGUAGCACUAUGGUUAUAAAACAUCUCCAUUUGUCUGCUUUGGCAGACUGGUCAUAAUGAAGAAUUUUAAACUUGGUGCAGAAUAUAAAUCCUGGUAGUAAGGAACUCUCAAGCCAACAGGAAUUUAGCUGCUUGAAGAUCUUGGUCUUGGUUUAGUCCAAUUUUUAGCCAAAGUGUGGAUUCCACACUUUGAAGUUCUCAAUUAAAAGGUCAUCCUCAUAUUAUCAAGCAGUCCAGACUCACCAUACCAUCAGCCUGUUUUCCAGAAAAAUCACCCCUGUUGGAAGGACAACUGGAAAUGCCUAAAUGAGAUGACAGAAAUUCUGUGACCUGAGCCAAAAGCAAUUUUGCUGUCAAGGCAAAAAAAUUUUUCAUUUAGACAGAAGUGUUAGGAAAUAGUAGUGUUUUGAUAGACAGUUCACAAGAUGAUAUUUGUGAAA
RNAcentral lists this long non-coding RNA (1334 nucleotides) under Zonotrichia albicollis (white-throated sparrow). Its description in RNAcentral is "lncRNA (ENSZALG00000000093.1)". Lineage: Eukaryota; Metazoa; Chordata; Aves; Passeriformes; Passerellidae. The record is from RNAcentral.